This 247-nucleotide ribosomal RNA is filed under the name uncultured bacterium. RNAcentral's name for it is "partial 16S ribosomal RNA". It matches the Rfam family "Bacterial small subunit ribosomal RNA", at positions 95 to 334 of the family's 1533-position model. The record is from RNAcentral.
GUGGCGAACGGGUGAGUAACACGUGGGGAAUCUGCCCAUGAGCGAGGAAUAACAUUCGGAAACGGAUGCUAAUACCUCAUAAGUUCUCUGACCUCCUGGUCAUUGAAUAAAAGACGGCCUUUGUGCUGUCACUCAUGGAUGAUCCCGCGGCGUAUUAGUUAGUUGGUGAGGUAAUGGCUCACCAAGACCAUGAUACGUAGCCGACCUGAGAGGGUGAUCGGCCACACUGGGACUGAGAACGGCCCAG